Molecule: unclassified non-coding RNA, 190 nt
Filed under: plant metagenome
Description: partial contains small subunit ribosomal RNA and internal transcribed spacer 1
Rfam family: Eukaryotic small subunit ribosomal RNA (bases 1-46)
Source: RNAcentral
AAGUCGUAACAAGGUCUCCGUUGGUGAACCAGCGGAGGGAUCAUUACCGAGUACUAUAACUCAUAACCCUUUGUGAACCUUCAUACCUGUUGCUUCGGCGGCGCGCCUCCCGGGGCCUGCCCGCCGGCAUUAUCAGAAUCUCUGUUCGAACCCGACGAUACAUCUGAGUGUUCUAAGCGAACUGUUAAAA